This 857-nucleotide ribosomal RNA is filed under the name Escherichia coli. Its description in RNAcentral is "partial 23S ribosomal RNA". It matches the Rfam family "Bacterial large subunit ribosomal RNA", at positions 2092 to 2925 of the family's 2925-position model. Lineage: Bacteria; Pseudomonadati; Pseudomonadota; Gammaproteobacteria; Enterobacterales; Enterobacteriaceae. RNAcentral also lists the same sequence under 1 other name. The record is from RNAcentral.
CGUGAACCUUUACUAUAGCUUGACACUGAACAUUGAGCCUUGAUGUGUAGGAUAGGUGGGAGGCUUUGAAGUGUGGACGCCAGUCUGCAUGGAGCCGACCUUGAAAUACCACCCUUUAAUGUUUGAUGUUCUAACGUGGACCCGUGAUCCGGGUUGCGGACAGUGUCUGGUGGGUAGUUUGACUGGGGCGGUCUCCUCCUAAAGAGUAACGGAGGAGCACGAAGGUUGGCUAAUCCUGGUCGGACAUCAGGAGGUUAGUGCAAUGGCAUAAGCCAGCUUGACUGCGAGCGUGACGGCGCGAGCAGGUGCGAAAGCAGGUCAUAGUGAUCCGGUGGUUCUGAAUGGAAGGGCCAUCGCUCAACGGAUAAAAGGUACUCCGGGGAUAACAGGCUGAUACCGCCCAAGAGUUCAUAUCGACGGCGGUGUUUGGCACCUCGAUGUCGGCUCAUCACAUCCUGGGGCUGAAGUAGGUCCCAAGGGUAUGGCUGUUCGCCAUUUAAAGUGGUACGCGAGCUGGGUUUAGAACGUCGUGAGACAGUUCGGUCCCUAUCUGCCGUGGGCGCUGGAGAACUGAGGGGGGCUGCUCCUAGUACGAGAGGACCGGAGUGGACGCAUCACUGGUGUUCGGGUUGUCAUGCCAAUGGCACUGCCCGGUAGCUAAAUGCGGAAGAGAUAAGUGCUGAAAGCAUCUAAGCACGAAACUUGCCCCGAGAUGAGUUCUCCCUGACCCUUUAAGGGUCCUGAAGGAACGUUGAAGACGACGACGUUGAUAGGCCGGGUGUGUAAGCGCAGCGAUGCGUUGAGCUAACCGGUACUAAUGAACCGUGAGGCUUAACCUUACAACGCCGAAGGUGUUU